Molecule: ribosomal RNA, 170 nt
Filed under: uncultured bacterium
Lineage: Bacteria
Description: partial 16S ribosomal RNA
Rfam family: Bacterial small subunit ribosomal RNA
Source: RNAcentral
CGGGGGCACGGGGGGCCUACGGGAGGCAGCAGUUAGGAAUAUUGGACAAUGGGCGCAAGCCUGAUGCAGCAACGCCGCGUGAGGGACGACGGCCUUCGGGUUGUAAACCUCUUUUAGUAGGGAAGAAGCGAAAGUGACGGUACCUGCAGAAAAAGCACCGGCUAACUACG